GAUCAUGGCUCAGGACGAACGCUGGCGGCGCGCCUAACACAUGCAAGUCGAACGGGGUUAUACGGGAUGAAGUUUUCGGAUGGAAUUCUAUAUAACCUAGUGGCGGACGGGUGAGUAACACGUGAGCAACCUGCCUAUCAGAGGGGGAUAACGAUUGGAAACGAUCGCUAAUACCGCAUGACAUAGCGGAACCGCAUGGUUUUGCUAUCAAAGAUUUAUCGCUGAUAGAUGGGCUCGCGUCCG
Molecule: ribosomal RNA, 243 nt
Filed under: uncultured bacterium
Lineage: Bacteria
Description: partial 16S ribosomal RNA
Rfam family: Bacterial small subunit ribosomal RNA
Source: RNAcentral